This 342-nucleotide ribosomal RNA is filed under the name uncultured Photobacterium sp. Its description in RNAcentral is "bacterial SSU rRNA". It matches the Rfam family "Bacterial small subunit ribosomal RNA", at positions 999 to 1329 of the family's 1533-position model. Lineage: Bacteria; Pseudomonadati; Pseudomonadota; Gammaproteobacteria; Vibrionales; Vibrionaceae. The record is from RNAcentral.
UUCCGAGAUGGAUUGGUGCCUUCGGGAACUCUGAGACAGGUGCUGCAUGGCUGUCGUCAGCUCGUGUUGUGAAAUGUUGGGUUAAGUCCCGCAACGAGCGCAACCCUUAUCCUUGUUUGCCAGCACUUCGGGUGGGAACUCCAGGGAGACUGCCGGUGAUAAACCGGAGGAAGGUGGGGACGACGUCAAGUCAUCAUGGCCCUUACGAGUAGGGCUACACACGUGCUACAAUGGCGUAUACAGAGGGCNGCGAGCUAGCGAUAGUGAGCGAAUCCCACAAAGUACGUCGUAGUCCGGAUUGGAGUCUGCAACUCGACUCCAUGAAGUCGGGGAAUCGCUAAG